This is an RNA transcript of Myotis lucifugus (little brown bat), 1749 nucleotides long. It is a transcript of the gene named RNA-binding protein 14 pseudogene, with no coding region annotated. The transcript has a single exon. NCBI's taxonomy places the organism in Eukaryota, Metazoa, Chordata, Mammalia, Chiroptera, Vespertilionidae. The record is from RefSeq and is a predicted model, not a curated record.
GGGAGGACUGCCGACAAGCCAGACGUUUCGCUUGUCGCUUGCGGAGACGUCCCGGCUCUCUGGGAAGGCGGCUGCAGCGACAAAAUGAAGAUAUUCGUGGGAAACGUCGAUGGAGCAGAUACAACGCCGGAGGAGCUGGCAGCCCUCUUCGCGCCCUAUGGCACAGUCAUGAGCUGCGCCAUCAUAAAACAGUUUGCCUUCGUGCACAUGCGCGAGAACGAGGGCGCGCUGCGCGCCAUCGAGGCCCUGCAUGGCCAUGAGCUGCAGCCUGGGCGCGCACUCGUGGUGGAGAUGUCGCGCCCAAGGCCUCUUAAUACUUGGAAGAUUUUCGUGGGCAAUGUGUCGGCUGCAUGCACGAGCCAGGAAUUGCGUAGCCUCUUUGAACGCCACGGAUGCGUCAUCGAGUGUGAGGUGGUAAAAGACUAUGCGUUUGUUCACAUGGAGAAGGAAGCAGAUGCCAAAGCCGCCAUCGCACAGCUCAAUGGCAAAGAAGUGAAGGGCAAGCGCAUCAACGUGGAACUCUCAACCAAGAGUCAGAAGAAGGGGCCUGGCCUGGCUAUCCAGUCUGGGGACAAGACCAAGAAACCAGGGGCUGGGGAUACGGCAUUCCCUGGAGCUGGUGGCUUCUCUGCCACCUUCGACUACCAGCAGGCUUUUGGCAACAGCACUGGUGGCUUUGAUGGGCAAGCCCGUCAGCCCAUACCACCCUUCUUUGGUCGCGACCGCAGCCCCCUGCGCCGUUCACCUCCCCGAGCCUCUUAUGUGGCUCCUUUGACGGCCCAGCCAGCCACCUACAGGGCCCAGCCCUCAGUGUCACUGGGAGUUGCCUACAGGGCUCAGCCUUCUGCCUCUUUGGGUGUCGGCUAUCCGACUCAGCCCAUGACAGCCCAGGCAGCCUCUUACCGCGCUCAGCCCUCUGUCUCCCUUGGAGCCCCAUUCAGGGGCCAGUUGGCCAGCCCUAGCUCCCAAUCUGCUGCAGCUUCCUCGCUUGGCCCAUAUGGUGGAGCCCAGCCCUCGGCCCUUUCCUCCUAUGGGGAUCAGGCAGCUGCAGCUUCCUCACUCAACUCCUAUGGGGCACAGGGCUCCUCCCUGGCCUCCUAUGCUAACCAGCCAUCCUCUUAUGGCACACAGGCUGCCUCUUCCUAUGGGGUUCGAGCGGCUGCCUCCUCCUACAACACCCACGGAGCAGCUUCCUCCCUAGGCUCCUAUGGGGCCCAGGCAGCCUCCUACGGGGCCCAGCCUUCUGCCAUCCUGGCAGGUCCUUACCGCACUCAGUCAUCAGCCUCAUUGGCUGCUUCUUAUGCUGCCCAGCAGCAUCCCCAGGCUGCUGCCUCCUACCGUGGCCAGCCGGGCAAUGCCUAUGAUAGGGCAGGCCAGCCAUCUGCAGCCUACUUAUCCAUGUCCCAGGGGGCCGUUGCCAACGCCAACAGCACCCCGCAGCCUUAUGAGCGUACCUGCCUCUCCCCACCCCGGGCCAGCUACGACGAUCCCUACAAAAAGGCUGUCGCCAUGUCGAAAAGGUAUGGUUCCGACUGGUGUUUACCCGAGCUCCCUGAUUACCGCCGUUUAUCAGAGUCGCAGCUUUCGUUCCGCCGCUCACAGACAAAGUCCUCGCUGGAUUACCGUCGCCUGCCCGAUGCUCAUUCCGAUUACGCACGCUAUUCGGGUUCCUAUAAUGAUUACCCGCGGGCAGCUCAAAUGCACUCUGGCUACCAGCGCCGCAUGUAGGGCCAUCCUGGGAUGGGGCAU